This 1351-nucleotide small RNA is filed under the name Rattus norvegicus (Norway rat). RNAcentral's name for it is "uncharacterized LOC102553477". Lineage: Eukaryota; Metazoa; Chordata; Mammalia; Rodentia; Muridae. The record is from RNAcentral.
GUAUUUCCCAUAGCCAUCUUAAACUAACAGUUUCUGAAGUCAGACAUCUGUUCCCAUCCAAAAUCCUCCCUGCUCCUUCCAGCAAGGUAAACAGAAUCUUUAUCCCCUUGCCUUGAGCUUCAAAUGCACUUCCUCUUUAUUGUCCCAUGCCUCAGAUGGCCAAAAAUCUGCCAACAGACCCUGACUUUCCUUAACUCUGCCUGGCAGACAGACUCUUUUCCUUUCUUCCCCCUCUGCUUCAGAGAAGAGGCAAACGGCUCCUGACAGAGAAGUAAAAAAGAAAGUUCACUCCAUACAGAUAGGACAUCAGCAGUGGAAGGAACUAUUCCAUCCAGGGCUGUCUUGGUGAGCCAAUGCCUUCACUGGCGUCAUUCUAUAGGAUCACUGCAGACGGGUUAUUUACAGGAACAUGAGUGAGGUGCACAGGAGUACAGGCGAGGGGUUACUCGUGGGAGCAUAGAUGAGGGGUUACAGGACCUUGGGUUUAAAGUAGCCACAUCACUGACAAGCCCCACCCAGAGUGGUAACGAUUCAUGGUAUCCUGACUUCUGACCAACUUCCUACUUCCUGUGACUUAUGUAGCAGGAGGGUUGGGGUUAGGACAGGACACAGUAAAUAAGGGCUCAGAUAAGAGUCAGAUAACAUCAUCUUUGGGCAUUAACAGCACCAUUAUCUCAGUCAAAGACCUAUCACUGCAUUGUUUUCCUGUUUGGUUGCCAUGACUGCAGGACCAAAGUAUUCUGUUGGUCACCAUAGCAAUAUGCUAAGUUAGACAAAGGUAGCUUCACUUCAAUAGCUUCUAUUCAACCUCAGUCUGUAUUUUCUCUUGCCACAUAACAUAGCUCUGGAUGGCUGUCCCAGGCUCACAGUGACAGCACACAUACAUCUCUCUACCAUGAUGAUUUGUUAAUCAAGAGGCAUCAUGGAAAUGGGAAAUCCAGAGGAGACUCCAACAUGGUUGUCCUACUGAGUGACAAGGCAAGACUUUAGAGCUUCCACAGCCGUGUGUCUCCAAUACAAGCCUGCUAACAAAAGGAGCUGACACUCUGAAAUGUAGACUUGGAGAGCUCGAGUGAAUUUUCAGGAAGUGUGUGGGAAAGUCCAAUCCCAAAUGGAACCCAAAGGACAGAUCACCAGGCGCUAGGCAAGCUACCACAAGUGGGCAGCUACAACAGCUGGGGUGGGGCACCCUGGAGAUGUGGGCUGUGCUGGGCCUUCAUGCGCCUUCUUUCUGCCCUGUGUCUCAGUCCCUUGAGUUGGAGUGUUCUUUCCCUUCCCCAGAUUCCUGUGCUUUAUGUCUGUGUCUGCUUCUCUUUCUGUCCCACUGAGCUUCACGUACCCUGAAUUUUGA